RNAcentral lists this long non-coding RNA (2099 nucleotides) under Nicotiana benthamiana. RNAcentral describes it as "long non-coding RNA (NBEN_LNC022344)". Lineage: Eukaryota; Viridiplantae; Streptophyta; Magnoliopsida; Solanales; Solanaceae. The record is from RNAcentral.
CAUUGUUAACGUGUCUAGUACUAUCUACUACUAUAACUAUAUAUUAUUAUUAAUCUUUUUUAAUAGAUCUGAAAAAAACAUAAAGGGGUUGUUGUGCAAAAUAAAUAUGGGAAUGUUGACUUCUUGAAUUUUUUGGUUACACCCAGAAAAUAAGGCAAUGUGUGAGAUGGUGCUGAGAGUGUAGAUCUGAAGAAGGUCACUGUGUGACUGUGUGAAGAUCUACAAAGGGUUUGAAGAAGAAUUUGGCUUAAUGAGCACGCGUAUGUUUUUCUUUUUUCUAGUCCUAAAAAUGGUGGUUUCUUUGUGGGUUUCUGUUCUCAGGUCUCAAUUGUACUUCUAUUAUUAAAAAUAGGGUCUUAUUUAUUUUUCAUUUGAGUUUCUUAACAACUAAAUUUAUCUUUCAACCGCUAAAUAUAACUUAUAAGUUUAUAAUAGACACAUAACAAUAUAUCAUUGGAUCUGAUUAAAAAAAUUUAAAAUAUUUUUAUUAAAAACUAGAAAAAAAUUAUAAAAAUAGAAAAAAAUAUUUUAAUAAUGUAUUUUCAUUUUUUUAAAAACUGAAAAAUAUAUUUCCAACAAAAUAUUUUCGUUUUUAAAAUUUUUAUUUUAUUUUUUUCAAUUUUCAUAGCAUUUCGUUUUAUUUUGUUUUUCAGUUUUUUUAAAAAGAAAGUAUUUUUAUUUAUUUUUUUAAAUAAAAUGAAGAAAAAAAUUUCAAAAUGCUAAUUUGGACACAUUAAUAAUACGGUUAGGCAUUUCGACAUUUUAGCCAAAUAAUAACCGUAUUUUUAUUAUUAAAAAUAAUAACUGUAUUAUUAUUGUUAAAUACCAAAUUAGCAUGAUUGGAUUAGAAGCUGUUGAUAGAAUUAAAUUCCAACGAUUAGGCAAUUCUAAAUUUUUUGUGAAGAAUAACAAAAAAAAUAUGUUGAAAAUAUUUGGACACGGCACAAAAUUUUUUGUGAAGAAUAACAAAAAUACUUUCUUUUUAAAAAAAUUAAAAAAUGGAAUAAAACGAAAUGCUAUAAAAACUGAACAAAAAAUUUAAAAAAAUUCAAAAACAAAAAUAUUUUAUUAAAAUAUUUUUUUCUAUUUCUAUAUUUAUUUUCUAGUUUUUAAUAAAAAUGCUUUAAAAAAAUUUUAAUCGGGUCCAAUAGCAUUUUGCCACGUGUCCAUUAUAAAUUUGUAAGUUAUAUUUAACGGUUGAAGAGUAAAUUUGACCCAAAAGUAUAACAUCAUGAAUAUUUUUUAUAAAAAACUCAAACGAAAAAUAAAUAAGGCCUAUUUUUCAUACGGCAAAUCAGACCCUCAACCGUUAUGUUUUUGACUCGCUCUCGAGACUCUAUUUAGGAAUUCAGGUUCCUUUUUGUUUGUUUGUUUUGCUUUUCCACAUUUCUCGUUUAUUUUUAUUUUAUUUUUAUUUUAUUACUGUGUGUUUUAAUGGUCUACUAGUACAAGUCUACUCUACAAUGUGAUUGGAGGUGGGCUGAGGGUUUUUGAGGCAGGAAGAAUCUAGAAGAAGAUUCUGAAAACUAUUUAAUAGUUUUUUUCCUUAAAUUUUAUUCAUCUUCAUUGUUUCUCCAACACUGUCGUUCGAUUUUUAUUUUUGAGCCUGAUUACUUCGAAUUUUUUAGUAAGUCCACUUUAAAAGUAAAACGCUACAUAACAAUUUUAUUUCUUAGAUUUUGAAAGCAAAGUUAUGAUUAGUUCAAAUCUAUAUAUAUAUAUUAAAGAAACAAAGUUACUAUAUAUAAUAGGUAUUAUGAUUAAGCCAAGUGAUAAAUUAAUAAAUAUUAAUAAUAUAUAAUAACUUUAUUCUAUAUUUUUCUCUCUCUUUAUAUAUAUAUAUAUAUACUACUACUAUAACUAUAUAUUAUUAUUAAUCUUUUUUAAUAGAUCUGAAAAAAACAUAAAGGGGUUGUUGUGCAAAAUAAAUAUGGGAAUGUUGACUUCUUGAAUUUUUUGGUUACACCCAGAAAAUAAGGCAAUGUGUGAGAUGGUGCUGAGAGUGUAGAUCUGAAGAAGGUCACUGUGUGACUGUGUGAAGAUCUACAAAGGGUUUGAAGAAGAAUUUGGCUUAAUGAGCACGCGUAUGUUUUUCUUUU